AGCGUGCCAGUUUUUUUCCGGGCGCAGGUUAUCUCAUAACUAACUUGAAAAACUGUAAUACAAUUUUAAAUAAUCUACAGUUUAGGUUGCUUAGCGAAGGUUUUAAAAAAAGUUUAUAUAGAAAACGCUUUUCUUCUAAAGGAGAGAAGCGCAAUCAAAAAUUACACAAUUAUUCUAAGCGACUGUAUUCUAAGGCCUUUAAUGAACAACUUAACUUUUGUGGGCGAGAUUUAAAACAUCUUUUUACUUCCUAGUC
Molecule: long non-coding RNA, 256 nt
Organism: Zophobas morio
Lineage: Eukaryota; Metazoa; Arthropoda; Insecta; Coleoptera; Tenebrionidae
Exons: 3
Source: RefSeq, a predicted model, not a curated record